UUUCCGUAGGUGAACCUGCGGAAGGAUCAUUACUGAGUGAGGGCCCCUCGGGGUCCAACCUCCCACCCGUGUUUAACGAACCUUGUUGCUUCGGCGGGCCCGCCUCACGGCCGCCGGGGGGCAUCUGCCCCCGAGCCCGCGCCCGCCGAAGCCACCUGUGAACGCUGUCUGAAGUAUGCAGUCUGAGACAAUUAUUAAAUUAAUUAAAACUUUCAACAACGGAUCUCUUGGUUCCG
This 236-nucleotide unclassified non-coding RNA is filed under the name plant metagenome. RNAcentral's name for it is "partial contains small subunit ribosomal RNA, internal transcribed spacer 1, and 5.8S ribosomal RNA". The record is from RNAcentral.